Molecule: long non-coding RNA, 292 nt
Filed under: Lathyrus oleraceus (garden pea)
Lineage: Eukaryota; Viridiplantae; Streptophyta; Magnoliopsida; Fabales; Fabaceae
Description: Pisum sativum (pea) long non-coding RNA (PSAT_LNC007800)
Source: RNAcentral
UUGGUUGGUUUGAUUUUUUACGAGAUUUUUACUAAGCCAUACAUACACCUAUAAAGAACAACAUGAUUUUGUGUUUAUUCAUUCAUACAUUACCAAAUAACAACAAAAUUCAUCAUAUUUAAACAAAAACUUCUCAUUAAAUAUACAAAAAUCAGAUUAGACAAAAGUGGAAAAAAGUAGCAUAAUGCAAUAGCAAAAAACAUUAUAAUAAAACAAAAAAAAAGAGGAGAUAAGAGAUUAUAAAAAGAUGAAAAAGAAAGAACAGAAAAGAUGCGAGAUUAGAGAAGAAAUG